This 419-nucleotide unclassified non-coding RNA is filed under the name Hevea brasiliensis (rubber tree). Lineage: Eukaryota; Viridiplantae; Streptophyta; Magnoliopsida; Malpighiales; Euphorbiaceae. The record is from RNAcentral.
UGACGAUAGAUAGUAGACUUGGAGGAAAAGGUUUUAUCUUCGACGCUGGGUAACACUUCCUCCAUCUUUGGAAUUGAAUCAAUAGUAGGAGAAGGGGGCAAGUAACUGAUUAAGGAAAGACAUGAGUUUCAAUUUGCCAAGGAAGUUAUCGAAAGGUGAGACCAGUUGAAUAUCGUCACUAUCCAUAGUUACAUACAAGUAUAUAUAACAUAGAAAGAGAAAAACUCGCCUCCAAUGAUGAGAAAUUUAUAGUGUGAGCUUUACUUUAUAAAGCUAGUUUAUUCGCUAAUAGAGCUUUUUCUCUCAUAUAGUAAGUAGUCUACAAGGGCGCCAAGGGAAAGAAAGCAGUGCUUAUAGAGUUGGACAAUUCUCCUAAAAAACUAAAAAAGGAGUAAAAAAAGAAAGACCGUAGCUCUACG